This 413-nucleotide ribosomal RNA is filed under the name uncultured bacterium. RNAcentral describes it as "bacterial SSU rRNA". It matches the Rfam family "Bacterial small subunit ribosomal RNA", at positions 30 to 447 of the family's 1533-position model. The record is from RNAcentral.
AUUGAACGCUGGCGGCAUGCCUUACACAUGCAAGUCGAACGGCAGCGCGGGGCAACCUGGCGGCGAGUGGCGAACGGGUGAGUAAUAUAUCGGAACGUGCCCUGGAGUGGGGAUAACGUAGCGAAGUUACGCUAAUACCGCAUACGAUCCAAGGAUGAAAGCAGGGGACCUUCGGGCCUUGUGCUCCUGGAGCGGCCGAUAUCUGAUUAGCUAGUUGGUGGGGUAAAAGCCUACCAAGGCGACGAUCAGUAGCUGGUCUGAGAGGACGACCAGCCACACUGGAACUGAGACACGGUCCAGACUCCUACGGGAGGCAGCAGCGGGGGAAUUUUGGACAAUGGGGGGCGAACCCUGAUCCAGCAAUGCCGCGUGUGUGAAGAAGGCCUCGGUUGUAAGCACUUUGUUCAGGAACG